This is a long non-coding RNA of Seriola aureovittata, 549 nucleotides long. RefSeq lists it as uncharacterized. The record is from RefSeq and is a predicted model, not a curated record. The transcript is spliced from 3 exons. NCBI's taxonomy places the organism in Eukaryota, Metazoa, Chordata, Actinopteri, Carangiformes, Carangidae.
ACAGGCGACCUGGCGUCGGUAGCGAUUUGGUUCAACCACACGACUUUUAUCCAGAAUCUGAGCCAGAGGGAGAGGCUGCUGAAGAAGUUCAAACUCUACAACUGCAGCAGGACAUUUCUGAAUGGUGCUCCUGUGGAAACUGUGCAACCAUGCCCACAGAAGCUGAGAACAUCUGCUGCUAGGAGAUACCACAGGUUACCACACGGCUAUGGGAGAUCGAGGAAGAUUUACCAUGUAUGGUAGACCGUCCUGGGUUGGAGCCGCUCUGCCUCAAUGUGUUCUGCCUGCAACAUGUACCGCACUGACUACGGUCCUUUACGGUUGAGAGGAAUACACCAGUACGUUUUGCUUCUUUGUAAAAACAUAUAGUUUCAAUCUAAAUAAAAGAUGUUAGGCAGUCUUGUUUUACUUCAGUGCACAUAAUUUUACAAUGGUAAUAACACGCCACAAAUGGAGUAACACACCCUCAAAUAAAUUAGUUUAGCUGCUCUUUGAUUUGUAAAGUUCUUCUAUCAGCAGAUAGUGUGCAUAUAAUAUGAAUUCAGAGGA